This 267-nucleotide ribosomal RNA is filed under the name uncultured bacterium. RNAcentral describes it as "partial 16S ribosomal RNA". It matches the Rfam family "Bacterial small subunit ribosomal RNA", at positions 793 to 1055 of the family's 1533-position model. The record is from RNAcentral.
GUCCACGCCCUAAACGAUGGAUACUAGACGUAAGAGGUAUCGACCCCUCUUGUGUCGCAGCUAACGCACUAAGUAUCCCGCCUGGGGAGUACGGCCGCAAGGUUGAAACUCAAAUGAAUUGACGGGGACCCGCACAAGCGGUGGAGCAUGUGGAUUAAUUCGAUACUAACCGAAGAACCUUACCCAGGUUUGACAUCGAUGGUAAGCCCAUGAAAGUGGGCCCUCCCUCACAAGGGGACCAGAAGACACUUGUUGCAUGGCUGUCGU